CCGGGUAGUCCUAGGCGUAAAUGAUGCGAGUUAAGUGUGGGGGCAUCUACGAGAUGGCCCUGUGCUGUAGGGUAGCCGUUAAACUCGCUGCCUGGGGAGUACGGUCGCAAGGCUGAAACUUAAAGGAAUUGGCGGGGGAGCACCACAAGAGGUGGAGGCUGCGGUUCAAUUGGAGUCAACGCCG
RNAcentral lists this ribosomal RNA (184 nucleotides) under uncultured Nitrososphaerota archaeon. RNAcentral describes it as "uncultured thaumarchaeote partial 16S ribosomal RNA". It matches the Rfam family "Archaeal small subunit ribosomal RNA", at positions 737 to 920 of the family's 1478-position model. Lineage: Archaea; Thermoproteati; Nitrososphaerota. The record is from RNAcentral.